GAAGAACCAACAGGGAUUGCCCUAGUAACGGGAGUGAAGCGGCAACAGCUCAAAUUUGAAAUCUGGCGCAAGCCCGAGUUGUAAUUUGUAGAGGAUGCUUCUGGGUAGCGACCGAUCUAAGUUCCUUGGAACAGGACGUCAUAGAGGGUGAGAAUCCCGUAUGUGACCGGCCCGCACCCUUUACGUAGCUCCUUCGACGAGUCGAGUUGUUUGGGAAUGCAGCUCUAAAUGGGAGGUAAAUUUCUUCUAAAGCUAAAUACCGGCCAGAGACCGAUAGCGCACAAGUAGAGUGAUCGAAAGAUGAAAAGUACUUUGGAAAGAGAGUUAAAAAGCACGUGAAAUUGUUGAAAGGGAAGCGCCUGCAACCAGACUUCGCGGCAGUGUUCCGCCGGUCUUCUGACCGGUUCAUUCUCUGUCGCGAGGCCAUCAUCGCCUGGGCCCGCCGGAUAAGACCUUAGGAAUGUAGCUCACCUUCGGGGGAGUGUUAUAGCCUAGGGUGAUGCGGCGAGGCUCGGGCGAGGUCCGCGCUUCGGCAAGGAUGAUGGCGUAAUGGUUGUCGGCGGCCCGUCUUGAAACACGGACCAAGGAGUCUAACAUCUAUGCGAGUGUUCGGGUGUCAAACCCCUACGCGUAAUGAAAGUGAACGGAGGUGGGAACCGAAGGUGCACCAUCGACCGAUCCU
Molecule: ribosomal RNA, 682 nt
Filed under: Septoria steviae
Lineage: Eukaryota; Fungi; Ascomycota; Dothideomycetes; Mycosphaerellales; Mycosphaerellaceae
Description: partial 28S ribosomal RNA
Rfam family: Eukaryotic large subunit ribosomal RNA
Source: RNAcentral